GACGAACGCUGGCGGCGUGCUUAACACAUGCAAGUCGAGCGGAAAGGCCCUUCGGGGUACUCGAGCGGCGAACGGGUGAGUAACACGUGGGUAACCUGCCCUUCACUCUGGGAUAACUCCGGGAAACCGGGGCUAAUACCGGAUACGACCACUUUAGGCAUCUUCGGUGGUGGAAAGUUUUUCGGUGGAGGAUGGACCCGCGGCCUAUCAGCUUGUUGGUGGGGGUAAUGGCCUACCAAGGC
This 242-nucleotide ribosomal RNA is filed under the name uncultured bacterium. RNAcentral describes it as "partial 16S ribosomal RNA". It matches the Rfam family "Bacterial small subunit ribosomal RNA", at positions 28 to 274 of the family's 1533-position model. The record is from RNAcentral.